RNAcentral lists this transfer RNA (86 nucleotides) under compost metagenome. RNAcentral describes it as "tRNA-Phe". It matches the Rfam family "tRNA". From Rfam's summary of the family: Transfer RNA (tRNA) molecules are approximately 80 nucleotides in length. Their secondary structure includes four short double-helical elements and three loops (D, anti-codon, and T loops). The record is from RNAcentral.
UGCCUGAGUAGCCAAGAGGUAAGGCGAUCGACUAAACGGUUAUCCUGAUGUCGGUAAACCACAGGUUCGAAUCCUGUCUCGGGUAA